This 500-nucleotide ribosomal RNA is filed under the name uncultured bacterium. RNAcentral describes it as "partial 16S ribosomal RNA". It matches the Rfam family "Bacterial small subunit ribosomal RNA", at positions 30 to 523 of the family's 1533-position model. The record is from RNAcentral.
AUUGAACGCUGGCGGAAUGCUUUACACAUGCAAGUCGAACGGCAGCACGGACUUCGGUCUGGUGGCGAGUGGCGAACGGGUGAGUAAUGUAUCGGAACGUGCCCAGUCGUGGGGGAUAACGUAGUGAAAAUUACGCUAAUACCGCAUACGAUCUAUGGAUGAAAGCGGGGGAUCGCAAGACCUCGCGCGAUUGGAGCGGCCGAUAUCAGGUUAGGUAGUUGGUGGGGUAAAGGCCCACCAAGCCAACGAUCUGUAGCUGGUCUGAGAAGACGACCAGCCACACUGGAACUCGGACACGGUCCAGACUCCUACGGGAGGCAGCAGUGGGGAAUUUUGGACAAUGGGCGAAAGCCUGAUCCAGCCAUUCCGCGUGCAGGAUGAAGGCCCUCGGGUUGUAAACUGCUUUUGUACAGAACGAAAAGGUUUCUACUAAUACUAGGAGCUCAUGACGGUACUGUAAGAAUAAGCACCGGCUAACUACGUGCCAGCCGCCGCGGUAA